GCAAACUUGGUCAUUUAGAGGAAGUAAAAGUCGUAACAAGGUUUCCGUAGGUGAACCUGCGGAAGGAUCAUUACUGAAUAAAGUGUGGUUGGGGGUUGUCGCUGGCAAUCCUCGCGUUGCAUGUGCACACCUCGGCCGCGCUCUGUCAUUCAAUUCCACCUGUGCAUCCUCUUGUAGGCCAGAUUGCCAUUUCAAAAUGCCGGGUGUUCUCCUCGGAACACUUUGCUUUUUUGGUUGGGACUUGCCGUUGCGGCUCAUCAUGCGUUGCUACGGCUCCUCUCGUACGUGGCCGAUCUGGUCUAUGCACCCUUUACCAAACCCUCUCAUGUCUUUGUAUGUAUGAUCAGCUUUUUUUUUUUGAAAGCAAUUGUAUGCACAACUUUCAACAACGGAUCUCUUGGCUCUCGCAUCGAUGAAGAACGCAGC
RNAcentral lists this unclassified non-coding RNA (426 nucleotides) under uncultured fungus. Its description in RNAcentral is "partial contains small subunit ribosomal RNA, internal transcribed spacer 1, and 5.8S ribosomal RNA". The stretch from base 1 to 73 matches the Rfam family "Eukaryotic small subunit ribosomal RNA", at positions 1759 to 1831 of the family's 1831-position model. The record is from RNAcentral. Lineage: Eukaryota; Fungi.